GCAAACUUGGUCAUUUAGAGGAAGUAAAAGUCGUAACAAGGUUUCCGUAGGUGAACCUGCGGAAGGAUCAUUAAUAAAAAAUCGAGCGCUGCGGGAGGGUUCGGGCAAAAAGCCCGACGCUCCCGUACCUCAAACCCCUUGCAAGAGCGUAAAACUUGUUGCUUCGGCGUGCUGGCCUUGUGGCCGCCGCCAGAAGGUUGCGAAACUCGUCUCAACCGUGAAGUCAGAGCCAUGUCAAAAUAAAUUUUAAAACUUUCAACAACGGAUCUCUUGGUUCUCGCAUCGAUGAAGAACGCAGC
Molecule: unclassified non-coding RNA, 299 nt
Filed under: uncultured fungus
Lineage: Eukaryota; Fungi
Description: partial contains small subunit ribosomal RNA, internal transcribed spacer 1, and 5.8S ribosomal RNA
Rfam family: Eukaryotic small subunit ribosomal RNA (bases 1-73)
Source: RNAcentral